UUGGCAAGUCCCUUGUCUAUCCCGGAGGGCGCACCCGGACGCUCGAGCCGGAGCGAGCGCGAAGUCCGAAGUCCGCCCCCAGAGCCGCCAACUUCCCUGUGAGCCCCUCUCCCCGCCGCAGCCUGCGCCAGACCUGGGAGCGAUGCGCCCCCACCCGGGCGGCGCGCCCUCUGCCAACUCGCCACCCAUGGGAUCGACUGCCCUCAGCUGCCCGGCUUGGAGUGCGUAGCCUUCGCCGCGUGGCCCAGGAGAGGAGCGAGACACCAAGGCGUUUCGCGGACUCCGCGCGCACCAGUCGGCUUGGUGGCCCUGCGGGA
RNAcentral lists this long non-coding RNA (317 nucleotides) under Homo sapiens (human). RNAcentral describes it as "HSALNT0096593". Lineage: Eukaryota; Metazoa; Chordata; Mammalia; Primates; Hominidae. The record is from RNAcentral.